GAGACACCCCUAUGGAGCAGGACUUGCUUCAAUGGGGAUUUGGUGCUCACUGAGUUGCCCCUUGAGUGUGUCACU
This is a non-coding RNA of Myotis lucifugus (little brown bat), 75 nucleotides long. Lineage: Eukaryota; Metazoa; Chordata; Mammalia; Chiroptera; Vespertilionidae. The record is from Rfam.